Long non-coding RNA from Archocentrus centrarchus (flier cichlid), 481 nucleotides. RefSeq lists it as uncharacterized. The transcript is spliced from 3 exons. The record is from RefSeq and is a predicted model, not a curated record. Lineage: Eukaryota; Metazoa; Chordata; Actinopteri; Cichliformes; Cichlidae.
AGAAAAAGUUAGAGAGGCCAGACUAAGAUUGUUUUGGGCAUGUGCGGAGGGACAGUGGACAUAUUGAUCAAAGAAUGUUAGAGAUGGAGCUGCUAGGCAGGAGACAGAGAGGGGGACCAAAGAGAUUGAUGGAUGUGGAUGAGGAAACUUAACAGAUAGUUGGUGUGAGGAUAGAAAAUGUAGAGAACAAGGGGAGGUGGAAGAGGUUGACUUGCUGUGGUGACCAUCUGACCUGAAAGAAGGGGCUGAUCUACUAAACACAAAGUAAACACACAGAUGCUAAGGAGAAAGAACCCAACACAAAACUAAAGAAGGACAAAGAGCCCAGCAGAAAAAAGAACACAAAUAAACAUUCUGUAUCUCUGGAAAGUGCUAGAAGAGCAAAAAAGAAUCCAUGGUCUCCCAUGGAGGUUGUCGCAGUCAUAUUGUUUUAAUGUUUGUCAAUGUGUUGUCUUUUACUACUAUUGUAUAUUCAUGACGU